RNAcentral lists this ribosomal RNA (492 nucleotides) under uncultured bacterium. Its description in RNAcentral is "partial 16S ribosomal RNA". It matches the Rfam family "Bacterial small subunit ribosomal RNA", at positions 29 to 507 of the family's 1533-position model. The record is from RNAcentral.
AGUGAGCGCUGGCGGUAGGCCUAACACAUGCAAGUCGAACGGCAGCACAGUAAGAGCUUGCUCUUACGGGUGGCGAGUGGCGGACGGGUGAGGAAUACAUCGGAAUCUACUUUUUCGUGGGGGAUAACGUAGGGAAACUUACGCUAAUACCGCAUACGACCUACGGGUGAAAGCAGGGGAUCUUCGGACCUUGCGCGAUUGAAUGAGCCGAUGUCGGAUUAGCUAGUUGGCGGGGUAAAGGCCCACCAAGGCGACGAUCCGUAGCUGGUCUGAGAGGAUGAUCAGGCACACUGGAACUGAGACACGGUCCAGACUCCUACGGGAGGCAGCAGUGGGGAAUAUUGGACAAUGGGCGCAAGCCUGAUCCAGCCAUACCGCGUGGGUGAAGAAGGCCUUCGGGUUGUAAAGCCCUUUUGUUGGGAAAGAAAAGCAGCAGGUUAAUACCCCGCUGUUCUGACGGUACCCAAAGAAUAAGCACCGGCUAACUUCGUG